GACGAACGCUGGCGGCGUGCUUAACACAUGCAAGUCGAACGGAAAGGCCCUGCUUUUGUGGGGUGCUCGAGUGGCGAACGGGUGAGUAACACGUGAGUAACCUGCCCUUGACUUUGGGAUAACUUCAGGAAACUGGGGCUAAUACCGGAUAGGAGCUCCUGCUGCAUGGUGGGGGUUGGAAAGUUUCGGCGGUUGGGGAUGGACUCGCGGCUUAUCAGCUUGUUGGUGGGGUAGUGGCUUACCAAGGCUUUGACGGGUAGCCGGCCUGAGAGGGUGACCGGCCACAUUGGGACUGAGGUACGGCCCAGACUCCUACGGGAGGCAGCAGUGGGGAAUAUUGCACAAUGGGCGGAAGCCUGAUGCAGCAACGCCGCGUGCGGGAUGACGGACUUCGGGUUGUAAACCGCUUUCGCCUGUGACGAAGCGUGAGUGACGGUAAUGGGUAAAGAAGCACCGGCUAACUACGUG
RNAcentral lists this ribosomal RNA (468 nucleotides) under uncultured bacterium. Its description in RNAcentral is "partial 16S ribosomal RNA". It matches the Rfam family "Bacterial small subunit ribosomal RNA", at positions 28 to 507 of the family's 1533-position model. The record is from RNAcentral.